UACGGAGGGUGCGAGCGUUGUCCGGAAUCACUGGGCGUAAAGCGCGUGUAGGCGGGUCCUUAAGUCAGGGGUGAAAUACCAAGGCUCAACCUUGGAACUGCCUUUGAUACUGGGGAUCUUGAGUCCGGGAGAGGUGAGUGGAACUGCGAGUGUAGAGGUGAAAUUCGUAGAUAUUCGCAAGAACACCAGUGGCGAAGGCGGCUCACUGGCCCGGAACUGACGCUGAGACGCGAAAGCGUGGGGAGCAAACAGG
This 253-nucleotide ribosomal RNA is filed under the name uncultured bacterium. Its description in RNAcentral is "partial 16S ribosomal RNA". It matches the Rfam family "Bacterial small subunit ribosomal RNA", at positions 524 to 776 of the family's 1533-position model. The record is from RNAcentral.